RNAcentral lists this ribosomal RNA (123 nucleotides) under Pteropus alecto (black flying fox). The record is from RNAcentral. Lineage: Eukaryota; Metazoa; Chordata; Mammalia; Chiroptera; Pteropodidae.
GGCUACGGCCAUGCCACCCUGAACAGGCUUGAUUUCAUCUGAUCUCAGAAGCUAAGCAGGGUUGGGCCUGGUUAGUACUUGGAUGGGAGACCACCUAGGAAUGAAUACCAGGUGCUGUAGGUG